GCUGGCGGCGUGCCUAAUACAUGCAAGUCGAACGAACUCUGGUAUUGAUUGGUGCUUGCAUCAUGAUUUACAUUUGAGUGAGUGGCGAACUGGUGAGUAACACGUGGGAAACCUGCCCAGAAGCGGGGGAUAACACCUGGAAACAGAUGCUAAUACCGCAUAACAACUUGGACCGCAUGGUCCGAGUUUGAAAGAUGGCUUCGGCUAUCACUUUUGGAUGGUCCCGCGGCGUAUUAGCUAGAUGGUGGGGUAACGGCUCACCAUGGCAAUGAUACGUAGCCGACCUGAGAGGGUAAUCGGCCACAUUGGGACUGAGACACGGCCCAAACUCCUACGGGAGGCAGCAGUAGGGAAUCUUCCACAAUGGACGAAAGUCUGAUGGAGCAACGCCGCGUGAGUGAAGAAGGGUUUCGGCUCGUAAAACUCUGUUGUUAAAGAAGAACAUAUCUGAGAGUAACUGUUCAGGUAUUGACGGUAUUUAACCAGAAAGCCACGGCUAACUACGUGCCAGCAGCCGCGGUAAUACGUAGGUGGCAAGCGUUGUCCGGAUUUAUUGGGCGUAAAGCGAGCGCAGGCGGUUUUUUAAGUCUGAUGUGAAAGCCUUCGGCUCAACCGAAGAAGUGCAUCGGAAACUGGGAAACUUGAGUGCAGAAGAGGACAGUGGAACUCCAUGUGUAGCGGUGAAAUGCGUAGAUAUAUGGAAGAACACCAGUGGCGAAGGCGGCUGUACUGUCUGUAACUGACGCUGAGGCUCGAAAGUAUGGUAGCAAACA
This 773-nucleotide ribosomal RNA is filed under the name Lactiplantibacillus plantarum. Its description in RNAcentral is "bacterial SSU rRNA". It matches the Rfam family "Bacterial small subunit ribosomal RNA", at positions 35 to 774 of the family's 1533-position model. Lineage: Bacteria; Bacillati; Bacillota; Bacilli; Lactobacillales; Lactobacillaceae. The record is from RNAcentral.